Molecule: ribosomal RNA, 549 nt
Filed under: uncultured bacterium
Lineage: Bacteria
Description: bacterial SSU rRNA
Rfam family: Bacterial small subunit ribosomal RNA
Source: RNAcentral
AGGGAAUCUUCGGCAAUGGACGGAAGUCUGACCGAGCAACGCCGCGUGAGUGAAGAAGGUUUUCGGAUCGUAAAGCUCUGUUGUAAGAGAAGAACGAGUGUGAGAGUGGAAAGUUCACACUGUGACGGUAUCUUACCAGAAAGGGACGGCUAACUACGUGCCAGCAGCCGCGGUAAUACGUAGGUCCCGAGCGUUGUCCGGAUUUAUUGGGCGUAAAGCGAGCGCAGGCGGUUAGAUAAGUCUGAAGUUAAAGGCUGUGGCUUAACCAUAGUAGGCUUUGGAAACUGUUUAACUUGAGUGCAAGAGGGGAGAGUGGAAUUCCAUGUGUAGCGGUGAAAUGCGUAGAUAUAUGGAGGAACACCGGUGGCGAAAGCGGCUCUCUGGCUUGUAACUGACGCUGAGGCUCGAAAGCGUGGGGAGCAAACAGGAUUAGAUACCCUGGUAGUCCACGCCGUAAACGAUGAGUGCUAGGUGUUAGACCCUUUCCGGGGUUUAGUGCCGUAGCUAACGCAUUAAGCACUCCGCCUGGAGAGUACGACCGCAAGGUUG